AAUAUAGUUGCCUGAGUGGAGGUCACCUUGGCGGCUGUCCUGGGGCGGCUUGGUCUGUGCGCUGUCAAGCAGGUUCGAAUCCAAUUGUGUCCUUUGGAGAAAAACGUGGAAUCAAUGAGGACCUUCCUCCAGGCGGUGCGCAGCAAGAGGGUCCGCUCCACUAAUCUCAGCUGCUCGGUGAUUGCGGACAUGAGGCACAAGGGCUCCCGGCCCUGUGUGGACGUGCUGUUCGGAGACCUGUAUCUCCUGAUUGUGCCCGGCGACCCUCCUACUGCUCUGGAAAUGCUCACUGCCUUCGCUGCCCACAACCCGGCCAGGCAGGUGGCAGGCAGCGAGGACAUGCAAGGUGCUGAUGCUGGCCGCUGAAGCGCAGAAGAGACCAACAAGAUGAUUUUAGCAUGGACUAGGACACUUAACCUAAGAAGAGUUUCACUUAAUCAUUCAAAUCACUGUCUGGAGGGCCAUGGAGUGCAAAAUAAAACUUAAAACCCUGCUACCAAAAAAAAAAAAAAA
RNA transcript from Sapajus apella (tufted capuchin), 513 nucleotides. It is a transcript of the gene named 39S ribosomal protein L53, mitochondrial pseudogene, with no coding region annotated. The transcript has a single exon. The record is from RefSeq and is a predicted model, not a curated record. NCBI's taxonomy places the organism in Eukaryota, Metazoa, Chordata, Mammalia, Primates, Cebidae.